ACGGGAGGCAGCAGUAAGGAAUAUUGGUCAAUGGACGCAAGUCUGAACCAGCCAUGCCGCGUGGAGGAUGAAGGUCCUCUGGAUUGUAAACUUCUUUUAUUUGGGAAGAAAUCUAUCUUUUCUUGGAUAGUUGACGGUACCAGAUGAAUAAGCACCGGCUAACUCCGUGCCAGCAGCCGCGGUAAUACGGAGGGUGCAAGCGUUAUCCGGAUUCACUGGGUUUAAAGGGUGCGUAGGUGGGCAGGUAAGUCAGUGGUGAAAUCUCCGGGCUUAACCCGGAAACUGCCAUUGAUACUAUCUUUCUUGAAUACCCUGGAGGUGAGCGGAAUAUGUCAUGUAGCGGUGAAAUGCUUAGAUAUGACAUAGAACACCCAUUGCGAAGGCAGCUCACUACGGGAAUAUUGACACUGAGGCACGAAAGCGUGGGGAUCAAACAGGAUUAGAUACCCUGGUA
This 454-nucleotide ribosomal RNA is filed under the name uncultured Saprospirales bacterium. RNAcentral's name for it is "bacterial SSU rRNA". It matches the Rfam family "Bacterial small subunit ribosomal RNA", at positions 341 to 792 of the family's 1533-position model. The record is from RNAcentral. Lineage: Bacteria; Pseudomonadati; Bacteroidota; Saprospiria; Saprospirales.